Molecule: ribosomal RNA, 467 nt
Filed under: uncultured bacterium
Lineage: Bacteria
Description: partial 16S ribosomal RNA
Rfam family: Bacterial small subunit ribosomal RNA
Source: RNAcentral
GACGAACGCUGGCGGCGUGCUUAACACAUGCAAGUCGAACGGAAAGGCCCUGCUUUUGUGGGGUGCUCGAGUGGCGAACGGGUGAGUAACACGUGAGUAACCUGCCCUUGACUUUGGGAUAACUUCAGGAAACUGGGGCUAAUACCGGAUAGGAGCUCCUGCUGCAUGGUGGGGGUUGGAAAGUUUCGGCGGUUGGGGAUGGACUCGCGGCUUAUCAGCUUGUUGGUGGGGUAGUGGCUUACCAAGGCUUUGACGGGUAGCCGGCCUGAGAGGGUGACCGGCCCCAGUGGGACUGGGAUACGGCCAAGACUCCUACGGGGGGCAGCGGUGGGGAAUUUUGCACAAGGGGCGGAGGCCGGAUGCAGCAACGCCGCGUGGGGGAUGACGGCCUUCGGGUUGUAAACCGCUUUCGCCUGUGACGAGGCGUGAGUGACGGUAAUGGUAAAGAAGCACCGGCUAACUACGUG